GGACUACCCGGGUAUCUAAUCCUGUUUGCUCCCCUAGCUUUCGUCUCUCAGCGUCAGUUGCGGUCCAGUGAGCCGCCUUCGCCUCUGGUGUUCCUGCAGAUAUCUACGCAUUUCACCGCUACACCUGCAAUUCCACUCACCUCUCCCGCACUCCAGCACGGCAGUUUCGAAAGCAGCCUCGGAGUUAAGCCCCGAGAUUUCACUCCCGACUUGCCGCACCGCCUACAGACCCUUUACGCCCAGUCAUUCCGAGCAACGCUGGCCCCCUACGUCUUACCGCGGCUGCUGGCAC
This 292-nucleotide ribosomal RNA is filed under the name uncultured Acidobacteriota bacterium. RNAcentral's name for it is "uncultured Acidobacteria bacterium partial 16S ribosomal RNA". Lineage: Bacteria; Pseudomonadati; Acidobacteriota. The record is from RNAcentral.